GAUGAACGCUGGCGGCGUGCCUAAUACAUGCAAGUCGAGCGAACAGACGAGGAGCUUGCUCCUUUGACGUUAGCGGCGGACGGGUGAGUAACACGUGGGUAACCUACCUAUAAGACUGGGAUAACUUCGGGAAACCGGAGCUAAUACCGGAUAAUAUUUCGAACCGCAUGGUUCGAUAGUGAAAGAUGGCUUUGCUAUCACUUAUAGAUGGACCUGCGCCGUAUUAGCUAGUUGGUAAGGUAACGGCUUACCAAGGCAACGAUACGUAGCCGACCUGAGAGGGUGAUCGGCCACACUGGAACUGAGACACGGUCCAGACUCCUACGGGAGGCAGCAGUAGGGAAUCUUCCGCAAUGGGCGAAAGCCUGACGGAGCAACGCCGCGUGAGUGAUGAAGGUCUUCGGAUCGUAAAACUCUGUUAUUAGGGAAGAACAAACGUGUAAGUAACUGUGCACGUCUUGACGGUACCUAAUCAGAAAGCCACGGCUAACUACGUGCCAGCAGCCGCGGUAAUACGUAGGUGGCAAGCGUUAUCCGGAAUUAUUGGGCGUAAAGCGCGCGUAGGCGGUUUUUUAAGUCUGAUGUGAAAGCCCACGGCUCAACCGUGGAGGGUCAUUGGAAACUGGAAAACUUGAGUGCAGAAGAGGAAAGUGGAAUUCCAUGUGUAGCGGUGAAAUGCGCAGAGAUAUGGAGGAACACCAGUGGCGAAGGCGACUUUCUGGUCUGUAACUGACGCUGAUGUGCGAAAGCGUGGGGAUCAAACGGGAUUAGAUACCCUGGUAGUCCACGCCGUAAACGAUGAGUGCUAAGUGUUAGGGGGUUUCCGCCCCUUAGUGCUGCAGCUAACGCAUUAAGCACUCCGCCUGGGGAGUACGACCGCAAGGUUGAAACUCAAAGGAAUUGACGGGGACCCGCACAAGCGGUGAAGCAUGUGGUUUAAUUCGAAGCAACGCGAAGAACCUUACCAAAUCUUGACAUCCUUUGACCCUUCUAGAGAUAGAAGUUUCCCCUUCGGGGGACAAAGUGACAGGUGGUGCAUGGUUGUCGUCAGCUCGUGUCGUGAGAUGUUGGGUUAAGUCCCGCAACGAGCGCAACCCUUAAGCUUAGUUGCCAUCAUUAAGUUGGGCACUCUAAGUUGACUGCCGGUGACAAACCGGAGGAAGGUGGGGAUGACGUCAAAUCAUCAUGCCCCUUAUGAUUUGGGCUACACACGUGCUACAAUGGACAAUACAAAGGGCAGCGAAACCGCGAGGUCAAGCAAAUCCCAUAAAGUUGUUCUCAGUUCGGAUUGUAGUCUGCAACUCGACUACAUGAAGCUGGAAUCGCUAGUAAUCGUAGAUCAGCAUGCUACGGUGAAUACGUUCCCGGGUCU
This 1372-nucleotide ribosomal RNA is filed under the name uncultured bacterium. RNAcentral describes it as "bacterial SSU rRNA". It matches the Rfam family "Bacterial small subunit ribosomal RNA", at positions 28 to 1381 of the family's 1533-position model. The record is from RNAcentral.